RNAcentral lists this unclassified non-coding RNA (351 nucleotides) under Hevea brasiliensis (rubber tree). The record is from RNAcentral. Lineage: Eukaryota; Viridiplantae; Streptophyta; Magnoliopsida; Malpighiales; Euphorbiaceae.
CUAAAGAUGGGAGCAACAUGGGAUCAAAUUUGCCUCAGAGACAAGAGACUUUGGGAGAGAUGACUUUGGAGCAGUUCUUGACCAGGGCAGGGGUCGUGAGAGAGGAUACUCAGCUAAUUGGAAGACCAAACAAUAGUGGAUUCUUUGAUGAAUUAUCGCGUCUAAAUAAUUGUAGUAAUAAUAAUAACAACACCAAUUCUGGUAUAGCUCUUGGGUUUCAGCAGCCAAAUCGAACCAAUGGACUCGUGGGGACACGAAUAGUGGAAAACAAUAAUAAUAUCGUUACUAGUCAGCCUGCAAAUUUAGCCCUGAAUGUAGGUGGAAUCAGAUCCUCUCAGCCACUACCUCAGC